UACGUAGGUGGCAAGCGUUGUCCGGAUUUAUUGGGCGUAAAGCGAGCGCAGGCGGUUUCUUAAGUCUGAUGUGAAAGCCCCCGGCUCAACCGGGGAGGGUCAUUGGAAACUGGGAGACUUGAGUGCAGAAGAGGAGAGUGGAAUUCCAUGUGUAGCGGUGAAAUGCGUAGAUAUAUGGAGGAACACCAGUGGCGAAGGCGGCUCUCUGGUCUGUAACUGACGCUGAGGCUCGAAAGCGUGGGGAGCGAACAGGAUUAGAUACCCUGGUAGUCCACGCCGUAAACGAUGAGUGCUAAGUGUUGGAGGGUUUCCGCCCUUCAGUGCUGCAGCAAACGCAUUAAGCACUCCGCCUGGGGAGUACGACCGCAAGGUUGAA
This 376-nucleotide ribosomal RNA is filed under the name uncultured bacterium. RNAcentral describes it as "bacterial SSU rRNA". It matches the Rfam family "Bacterial small subunit ribosomal RNA", at positions 524 to 898 of the family's 1533-position model. The record is from RNAcentral.